RNAcentral lists this ribosomal RNA (246 nucleotides) under uncultured Conexibacter sp. RNAcentral's name for it is "partial 16S ribosomal RNA". It matches the Rfam family "Bacterial small subunit ribosomal RNA", at positions 796 to 1041 of the family's 1533-position model. Lineage: Bacteria; Bacillati; Actinomycetota; Thermoleophilia; Solirubrobacterales; Conexibacteraceae. The record is from RNAcentral.
CACGCCGUAAACGAUGGGUACUAGGUGUGGGGGGUGUCGACUCCCUCCGUGCCGAAGCUAACGCAUUAAGUACCCCGCCUGGGGAGUACGGCCGCAAGGCUAAAACUCAAAGGAAUUGACGGGGGCCCGCACAAGCAGCGGAGCAUGUGGUUUAAUUCGAAGCAACGCGAAGAACCUUACCUGGGCUUGACAUGUGCCUGACCGCCGUGGAAACACGGCUUCCCUUCGGGGCAGGUUCACAGGUGG